CCUACGGGUGGCAGCAGUAGGGGAUAUUGCUCAAUGGGGGAAACCCUGAAGCAGCAACGCCGCGUGGAGGAUGAAGGUCUUCGGAGUGUAAACUCCUUUUGUUAGAGAAGAUAAUGACGGUAUCUAACGAAUAAGCACCGGCUAACUCCGUGCCAGCAGCAGCGGUAAUACGGAGGGUGCAAGCGUUACACGGAAUCACUGGGUGUAAAGGGCGCGUAGGCGGGAUAGCAAGUCAGGUGUGAAAUCCUAUGGCUAAACCAUGGAACUUCAUUUGAAACUGUUAUUCUGGAGUGUGGGAGUGGUAGGUGGAAUUCUUGGUGUAGGGGUAAAAUCCGUAGAGAUCAAGAGGAAUACUGAUUGCGAAGGCGACCUGCUAGAACGUAACUGACGCUGAUGCGCGAAAGCGUGGGGAGCAAACAGGAUUAGAUACCCGUGUAGUC
RNAcentral lists this ribosomal RNA (440 nucleotides) under uncultured bacterium. RNAcentral's name for it is "partial 16S ribosomal RNA". It matches the Rfam family "Bacterial small subunit ribosomal RNA", at positions 338 to 795 of the family's 1533-position model. The record is from RNAcentral.